Molecule: long non-coding RNA, 3948 nt
Filed under: Anolis carolinensis (green anole)
Lineage: Eukaryota; Metazoa; Chordata; Lepidosauria; Squamata; Anolidae
Description: lncRNA (ENSACAG00000033246.2)
Source: RNAcentral
CAGCCUGGAAACAUAAAAGGAGGACUCGGCAAGGGAGACGCGCUGACAGCCCGCCCGCUUGGAGCAAAGCCAGAGAAGUGUCUGCGGGUGUCUAUGAGCCACACAUGCAUACAAAUGCCCCCCUCCAACGGGACCAUUCACCCCCUUCCUUCCUUCCUUCCCUCCCUCCCCUUUGGAGACGCGCUUUCCUCCUCCUUCUCCUCCCAGUUUUUGCGCACGAGAAAGAGAGCCACCCGCGCCCUCUUCAGCCGGGCCAGCAGCCAAAAAGGGAAGCAGCCGGGCCCCUCGGCCUGGCAGAGAGAGAAAGAGGCGCUGGGCCGGGCAGGAGACAAGGAUUCGCCCCCUUUUCCCCCUGCCCUUUGCUCACCCCGUUGCUGCGGAUCGCAGGGAGCCAGCCAAGCUCUUGCGCGCAGUCUCUUUCUCUCGUGCGCUCCAACACCGAGGCCGUCCCUUUCCACUGCUUGCGGAAAUAUCCACCGCCUCUUUCCUUCUCCCUUCGUGGCUGGAAACGGCCUUACCGGACGGCCCCCUUUCCUGCGUACCGCAGCACUGCUUUGUUGACGCGGCUUUGCUCCCUUUUCAGCUGCGGCAGGAGGAAUCGCCCAGGACGCUGGGAUGGAUCCCCCAGAAUGGAUUUCGGGAUCCUCCGCCUUGGAACAGCCAGAAAGAACCAGUGGGUUUUAUUACUGCGUCUUUAUCAUCGCUUCUGAGCAUAGGAAGUGUCUUUUUCCCCCUCUUUCCACGCAGAGGAAAAACUUGGGAGGCGGGGCUCGAGGGGGUGGACUGCAGUCCCUUGCAGAAGAAGCCCCUCCAUGAGAAUAAAUGAGUAAAAUAAAAAUACCUGUGGGUUGUUGAGAGAAGUCCAAAACACCCAACCUUUUUUUGACCAGGAACCAUAGAAUCAGAGAGUUGGAAGAGACCUCGUGGCCCAUCCAGUCCAACCCCCUGCCAAGAAGCAGAAAGUUAAAUUCAAAGCAUCCCUGACAGAUGGCCGUCCAGCCUCUGCUUCAAAGCCUCCAAAGAAGGAGCUUUCAGCACACUCCAGGGCAGAGAGUUCCACUGCUGAACAGCACUCACAGUGGGGAAAUUCUUCCUAAUGUUCAGGUGGAAUCUCCUUUCCUGUAGUUUAAAGCCAUUGUUCUGCAUCCUAGUCUCUAGGGCAGCAGAAAACAAGCUUGCUCCCUCCUCCCUAAGACUUUCCCUCACAUAUUUAUACAUGGAUAUCAUGUCUCCUCUCGGCCUUCUCUUUUGCAGGCUAAACAUGCUCAGCUCUUUAAGCCGCUCCUCAUAGGGCGUGUUCUCCAGACCCUUGAUCAUUUUAGUUGCCCUCCCCUGAAUACCGUCCAGCUUGUCAACAUCUCCUUUCAACUGCGGUGCCCAGAAUUGGACACAGUGUGAUUCCAGGUGUGGUCUGACCAAGGCGGAAUAGAGGGGGAACAUGACUUCCCUGGAUCUAGACACUAGACUCCUAUUAAUGCAGGCCAAAAUCCCAUUGGCUUUUUAAACCGCCACAUGACAUUGUUGGCUCAACAUUAGUACCAAAAGUACGAAUUUUGGUUAGUACGAAUCAGUUUUUGGUCAACUUUAGAUUCAGUUGGUUAUUAGGGGUGCUGGUUUAGAAAAGUGCAUUGGAUAAACCACAUCAGCUCUAGUUUCUGAUACAGAACACAUCCCAUCCAAUAGUUGCCAUCUGCUCAUCCACAGAAAACCAUAUUUAAUAAUCUAGAGCUGGUGUGGCCUAUCCAAUGCAAUUUUCUGAAUCGGCACUCCCCAAAUGACCCUAGGAACAGGCCUAAAAACAAAAAUAACCAAAGCACACCCGUUUCCAGGCUCCACAUGGAAUGGCUCCGCUCACCAGGAGGGAGGAGGAAGAGAAACAGCAGUCAGGAGGCUUUUUACACCUUUCAUGGGUAGUCAGCCUCUCUACUCCUGACAUUCCAGUUGUCUCGGCACUAUAAGAGGAUUUCACAAGACCAGUUGCUCUCUUUGCAACAGUGUAGUAACAGUGAGGCUGCGGACUAUAUUUUAGUUCUUGGGGACCACAGGUUGGGAACCACUGCUGUAGAACGAAUCCACUUUAACUGUAUUGGUUCAGUGCUAUGGAGUAAUGGGGCUGUAGUUUUGCAAGGUUUUGAGCCGCCUCUGCCAAACAGUGUGGGUGCCUUGCUAAACUACAAAUCCCAAGAUUACAUAGUAUUGAGCUAUGACAAUUAAAUUACAGAUGGCAUCCCUCAAAUAGGAGCUUCAGGUGCUCCUAAAGCAGCUUCCCCUUUUGCUUUGGCUCAGCAAAGAUUACAUUAUAUGAAUCUAAUGCGGACCCUAAUAUUGGCAAGGUGAUUUAGCCAAAAAAAGUGAGUGUUCAAGUAAAUGCAGUAAUAACAACAGGAUCGUCAGCCUUUGGUAUCCGAUGAGGUUUGGUUCCAGUAUCCCAAAAUUUGUGGUUGAGCAAUCCCUAUUACAUACAAUUACAGUAGAGUCUCACUUAUCCAAAACUCGUUUAUCCAAGGUUCUAGAUUAUCCAAGGCAUUUUUGUAGUCAAUAUUUUCAAUAUACUGUAUCAUGAUAUUUUGGGUCUAAAUUCGUAAAUACAGUAAUUACAACAUAACAUUACUGCGUAUUGAACUACUUUUUCUGUCAAAUUGGUUGUAUAACAUGAUGUUGGUGCUUAAUUUGUAAAAUCAUAAACUAAUUUGAUGUUUAAUAGGCUUUUCCUUAAUCCCUCCUUAUUAUCCAAGAUGUUCGCUUAUCUGGCCCGUUUAUUUUGGAUAAGUGAGACUCUACAUUACAUUUAAGCUUCUUGAAUAUUUCCACUGUUGUUCUUCUUACUGUUAUCUUUAUUUAUUUCUACCCUAAUUGUUCCUGAGAACUGGGACUAAAGGCAACUUUCAAAUUAAUACAGAUGUAGCACUGUUUAAAAAUAAAAAUAAAAUCCCCAGUGUUACAAUAACACUUUAAAAAUGUAAGCAAACAGUCAAAGUGUUGAAGAGCGGCUUGUAAAACUAUAAAUAAAAUAGUGCAAUACACUCAUAAACACCCUUUCUUUUAACCCUUCAGUUCAUGAAUGUAUUGUAUUGUAGUAAAAACUUAUUUCCAUGGUAAUAGGGGGGCAUCCUAUGGUGCAUAUGCACUGUAGAAUUAAUGCAGUUUGAUGCCAUUUUAAUUGCCAUGGCUCAGUGCUAUGGAAUCCUGGGAGUGGUAGUUUUAAAAUGUGCUUAGCUUUCUCUGCCAAAGAGUGCUGGUACUUCAACAAACUCCAGCUUCCAAGAUUCCAUAGCAUUGAGCCAUAGCAGUGAAAUUGGUGUCAAACUGCAUUAAUUCUACAUGUAGAAGUGUCUAGGACAGUUACGGAAGAGGGCCUAACAUUUGUCAUUCACUAACCAUGUCCAGGAAGGUAGUGGGGUUCAUUGGGGAUCCUUCAGUAGACCUGAAUCAAACAAAAAUUUGUAGGCCAUAAUCAACACUUUAAAUUGGGGCUAGAUUCUGGCAAGCCAGUCCUUUUCUGUCAACCAUAUAUCAUAUCAGGCCCAUUUCCUACCAUUUGACCCCCUACCUAUGAGAGUUGAAUGAUGCAACUCGCCAUGUCCAGAACCAGGGCCGUAGCCAGAAAAAAAUUUCGGGAGGGGUUUUGAAAAUUUCGGGGGGGGGGGGGUUUAACCCCUAGCACACACACACACACACACACACACACACACCCCGCAGAUUUCAAUAUCUGCUUGAAAUAGUGCCUGGAGGGACUCUUAAUGUUUUGUGUCUCAUAGACUUAGCAUGGGGAUUUGGUUAACCAGUUAAAAUUCAUGAGUAAACCAGGUUUUUUUUAUAACCUGAAAAAUUUCGGGGGGGGGGGGGUUGAACCCCUAAACCCCCCCCCCCCCCCUCCCGGGCUGUCCAGAAACGAGCUUUGAAGGGUCCUAUGACCCCUACCCCCCCGGGAGGGGGGCUUCCGAAAAA